UUCGAGUGGCGACGGGUGAGUAACGCGUGGGUAACCUGCCUUACACAGGGGAUAACACCUGGAAACAGGUGCUAAUACCGCAUAAGCGCACAGGGCCGCAUGGCCCGGUGUGAAAAACUCCGGUGGUGUAAGAUGGACCCGCGUCUGAUUAGCUUGUUGGCGGGGUAGGGGCCCACCAAGGCGACGAUCAGUAGCCGGCCUGAGAGGGUGGACGGCCACAUUGGGACUGAGACACGGCCCAAACUCCUACGGGAGGCAGCAG
RNAcentral lists this ribosomal RNA (262 nucleotides) under uncultured bacterium. RNAcentral describes it as "partial 16S ribosomal RNA". It matches the Rfam family "Bacterial small subunit ribosomal RNA", at positions 90 to 354 of the family's 1533-position model. The record is from RNAcentral.